This 248-nucleotide long non-coding RNA is filed under the name Mytilus galloprovincialis (Mediterranean mussel). The record is from RNAcentral. Lineage: Eukaryota; Metazoa; Mollusca; Bivalvia; Mytilida; Mytilidae.
AUAUUGUUCUUACAUCUCUUCUGAAAAAAAAAUCCACAUGUUUGUUAUCAGUUGAACUCUGAAACUACAAGUCCAAUCGACCCCAAACUUUACAGUCAGCAGGGCAUACAUGUACUAAAGGUUCAUAAAAACAACCUUUUGCAGAUAUCUCUCAAGACUUUUCCUAGAGAAAAAAAAUCGCAAUGCUGUAAAAAUCGCUUGCUAGGUCCGUCAAUCUCAGUAAAAACCUACAAUAAAAUGUCCGCUCC